RNAcentral lists this ribosomal RNA (558 nucleotides) under uncultured bacterium. Its description in RNAcentral is "bacterial SSU rRNA". It matches the Rfam family "Bacterial small subunit ribosomal RNA", at positions 777 to 1334 of the family's 1533-position model. The record is from RNAcentral.
AAUAGAUACCCGGGUAGUCCUAGCCGUAAACGAUGACCACCAGGUGUGGGAGGUAUCGACCCCUUCCGUGCCGGAGUUAACACACUAAGUGCCCCGCCUGGGGAGUACGGCCGCAAGGCUAAAACUCAAAGGAAUUGACGGGGGCCCGCACAAGCGGCGGAGCAUGCGGAUUAAUUCGAUGCAACGCGAAGAACCUUACCAAGGCUUGACAUGGACCGGACCGCCGCAGAAAUGUGGUUUCCCCUUUGGGGCCGGUUUACAGGUGGUGCAUGGUUGUCGUCAGCUCGUGUCGUGAGAUGUUGGGUUAAGUCCCGCAACGAGCGCAACCCUCGUUCUAUGUUGCCAGCGGUUCGGCCGGGGACUCAUAGGAGACUGCCGGGGUCAACUCGGAGGAAGGUGGGGACGACGUCAAAUCAUCAUGCCCCUUAUGUCUUGGGCUUCACGCAUGCUACAAUGGCCAGUACAAAGGGUUGCGAUACUGUGAGGUGGAGCUAAUCCCAAAAAGCCGGUCUCAGUUCGGAUUGGGGUCUGCAACUCGACCCCAUGAAGUCGGAGUCG